AAUUCGAAGCAACGCGCAGAACCUUACCAACCCUUGACAUCCUGUUUAACUCGAGAUAUCGAGCGUUCACUUCGGUGACGCAGUGACAGGUGCUGCAUGCAUGUCGUCGGCUCGUGUCGUGAGAUGUUCGGUUAAGUCCGGCAACGAGCGCAACCCACAUCCUUAGUUGCCAGCAGUUCGGCUGGGCACUCUAAGGAAACUGCCCGUGAUAAGCGGGAGGAAGGUGUGGACGCCGUCAAGUCCUCAUGGCCCUGACGGGUUGGGCUACACACGUGCUACAAUAGCAGUGACAAUGGGUUAAUCCCAAAAAGCUGUCUCAGUUCGGAUUGGGGUCUGCAACUCGACCCCAUGAAGUCGGAAUCGCUAGUAAUCGCGUAACAGCAUGACGCGGUGAAUACGUUCCCGGGCCUUGUACACUUCCGCAU
RNAcentral lists this ribosomal RNA (425 nucleotides) under uncultured Sulfitobacter sp. RNAcentral's name for it is "bacterial SSU rRNA". It matches the Rfam family "Bacterial small subunit ribosomal RNA", at positions 948 to 1387 of the family's 1533-position model. The record is from RNAcentral. Lineage: Bacteria; Pseudomonadati; Pseudomonadota; Alphaproteobacteria; Rhodobacterales; Roseobacteraceae.